AGUUGGAUAGCUGGGUCAAAUGGUAGUUCCAGUCCAAGUUUUCUAAGCAAUUUCCAUACUGCUUUCCAGAGUGGAUGCACCAAUUUGCAAUGCCACCAGCAAU
This 103-nucleotide microRNA precursor is filed under the name Marmota monax (woodchuck). Lineage: Eukaryota; Metazoa; Chordata; Mammalia; Rodentia; Sciuridae. The record is from RNAcentral.